GCGUCGGUAGCGCAAUGGUUAGCAUACGCUCCCGGAAAGAGUGGGAUCUGGGUUCGAAUCCCGGCUGACACA
Parelaphostrongylus tenuis is the source of this 72-nucleotide non-coding RNA. NCBI's taxonomy places the organism in Eukaryota, Metazoa, Nematoda, Chromadorea, Rhabditida, Metastrongylidae. The record is from the annotation of a GenBank genome assembly.